RNAcentral lists this ribosomal RNA (253 nucleotides) under uncultured bacterium. Its description in RNAcentral is "partial 16S ribosomal RNA". It matches the Rfam family "Bacterial small subunit ribosomal RNA", at positions 524 to 776 of the family's 1533-position model. The record is from RNAcentral.
UACGGAGGGUGCGAGCGUUGUUCGGAAUCACUGGGCGUAAAGCGCGCGUAGGCGGUCUGCUAAGUCUGAUGUGAAAGCCCGGGGCUCACCCCCGGAAGUGCAUUGGAAACUGACAGACUGGAGUCCCGGAGAGGAGGGUGGAAUUCCUGGUGUAGCGGUGAAAUGCGCAGAUAUCGGGAGGAACACCGGUGGCGAAGGCGGUUCUCUGGGCCUUACCUGACGCUGAGGAGCGAAAGCGUGGGGAGCGAACAGG